This 470-nucleotide long non-coding RNA is filed under the name Homo sapiens (human). RNAcentral describes it as "non-protein coding LINC02064:12". The record is from RNAcentral. Lineage: Eukaryota; Metazoa; Chordata; Mammalia; Primates; Hominidae.
GCGGCGUAGAAGAGGAAAGGCUGGGGGUUUCGGAUGGUUGUUUUUGAAGCCAUCAGUAUUCUUGAAGAAGCAGCAUAUCUUGAACUGUCCUAUGGGUGAAGGCUUUGAUGUGGUCCUGUAAAAACUGGGAAGAUUUGGAGGAUCAUCUGAAUACCCAUCCAACAGAGAUCCAUGAUUCAUGUAUUUCUCAAGACAGCCAUACACUAAAAUUAUAAGAUCAUAAGAAUAUUAAUUAUAUUCUACCAAUGCAAUACAAGCAUUGAAAUGGAUGGCAUCUGAUCCUGCUUCAUGUGAUUCUUCAUUUAGCUCUGGACUCUUUACAUCAUUAAGGCUUUUUCUUUGCAGGAAUUUAAAAGCAACCCUAUGAAUAUAACAUUUGUCAAAAAGAGCAAGUGCCAAGCCAGUUGAGAAUAACCUUACAAUGUGUACAAGGAUUCCAGUUCUGCUGCUAUAUAAACCAGCCUCAAAUA